AUUGAACGCUGGCGACAUGCCUUACACAUGCAAGUCGAACGGCAGCACGGGUGUUUGCAUCUGGUGGCGAGUGGCGAACGGGUGUGUAAUACAUCGGCACAUGUCCUGUAGUGGGGGAGAGCCGGGCGAAAGCCGGUUAAAUCCCGCAUACGCUCUACGGAUAAACGGGGGGGCCAAACGGGCCUCGCGCUAUAGGGUUGGCCGAUGGCUGAUUAGCUAGUUGGUGGGGUAAAGGCCUACCAAGGCGACGAUCAGUAGCUGGUCUGAGAGGACGACCAGACACACUGGGACUGAGACACGGCCCAGACUCCUACGGGAGGCAGCAGUGGGGAAUUUUGGACAAUGGGCGAAAGCCUGAUCCAGCAAUGCCGCGUGUGUGAAGAAGGCCUUCGGGUUGUAAAGCACUUUUGUCCGGAAAGAAAUCCUUGGCCCUAAUACGGUCGGGGGAUGACGGUACCGGAAGAAUAAGCACCGGCUAACUACGUG
RNAcentral lists this ribosomal RNA (486 nucleotides) under uncultured bacterium. RNAcentral's name for it is "partial 16S ribosomal RNA". It matches the Rfam family "Bacterial small subunit ribosomal RNA", at positions 30 to 507 of the family's 1533-position model. The record is from RNAcentral.